GCUCGUAGUUGGAAUUCUGCUGAGGAUGACCGGUCCGCCCUCUGAGAGGUAUCUGGCUCAGCUUUGGCAUCUUUCUUGGAAAAUGUAUCUGCACUUGACUGUGUGGUGCGGUAUUCAAGACAUUUACUUUGAGGAAAUUAGAGUGUUUCAAGCAAGCAAAAGCUUUGAAUACAUUAGCAUGGAAUAAUAACAUAGGACCUCAAACCUAUUUUGUUGGUUUCUAGAAUUGAGGUAAUGAUUGAUAGGGAUAGUUGGGGGCAUUCGUAUUUAAUUGUCAGAGGUGAAAUUCUUGGGAUUUGUUAAAGACGGACUACUGCGAAAGCUUUUGCCAAGGAUGUUUUUCAUUUGAUCAAGAACGAAAGUUAGGGGAUCGAAGACGAUCAGAUACCGUCCUAGUCUUAAACCAUAAAACUAUUCCCGACCAGAGAUUGGAGGCCGUUUUUCUUUACUCCUUUCAGCACCCUUAUGAGAAAAUCAAAGUCUUUGGGGUUCCGGGGGGGAGUAUGGUCGCAAGGCUGAAACUUAAAGGAAUUGACGGAAGGGCACCACCAGGAGUGGAGCCUGCGGCUUAAUUUGACUCAACACGGGGGAAACUUACCAGGGCCCAGACAUAGUAAGGAUUGACAGAUUGAUAGCUCUUUUCUUGAUUUCUAUGGGUGGUGGUGCAUGGCCGUUCUUUAGUUGGUGGAGUGAUUUGUCUGGUUAAUUCCGGUUAACGAACGAGACCUUAACCUGCUAAAUAGUUACAUGUAACCUCGGUUACAUGGGCAACUUUC
Molecule: ribosomal RNA, 776 nt
Filed under: uncultured eukaryote
Lineage: Eukaryota
Description: SSU rRNA
Rfam family: Eukaryotic small subunit ribosomal RNA
Source: RNAcentral